Molecule: long non-coding RNA, 1931 nt
Filed under: Fukomys damarensis (Damara mole-rat)
Lineage: Eukaryota; Metazoa; Chordata; Mammalia; Rodentia; Bathyergidae
Description: lncRNA (ENSFDAG00000026297.1)
Source: RNAcentral
GUUGUGAUGUUUCGGUUUGUAUGUGUUAGUUUCCUGGUGCAGCUGGGCAGUUGGCUGCUGUGUGGGGUCGCGGUGUGCAGGAGGCAGAGGUGCAGGGGUCCUGCCUGCAGAUGAACGGUGGCUGCCCACAAAUGCCCUGGUGUCGCCUGCUGUGCUGCCAGGGUUCAGGUGCGGACAGCCACUUCCCAGCAGUGCCUGGUGAUGUCGAGUGCCACCACCCUGUCCUCGCUGUGCAGAGCCGGGUUGGCAUUGCAGGUGGGACCGCUGUGGAUGUCGGGCAGCAACGUCUCAACUGGAAAACACCAUAGUAAUGAGCCAGCUUUCCAUCAGCUGAUCCUAGUGAAACAAGCGCACCCACCCUGCGAUGUGUGUGAGUUUGUGGUGCGGCUAAUGCAACCUCAGGAGGAACGGUUCAUGGCUGUGUGUGUCUGUGGAGUCCCCGAAUGGGAAAUGCUGUGCCGGCGAGGAGCAGGGCUGCAGAGACGAGGGACACUCAUGCUGUGACGUGCGAGCUACCGAGAAAGAACAGAAAAGAUUCACACAUCGAAGAGGUGUCAUCUUUGAAGUCCUAGAUCAGAAAGAAAAAUCAAGUUAAUGAUUGAAGUCAAAUUUAAGUCCAAGUAAUGAUUUGUUUUUUUCACAUUCACUGCCAAUAAAGUCAUAACAUUUUCAACUUUAAGAAAACAUACAGUGUAUGAAAGAGUGAUCUUCCAAAAUAUGCAUGUGGUCACCUCUAACUUGUAACUCAAAACUUAUGUUCACUCUGCAUAGUUUUCUUUUGUAAAGUAAAAUGAACACAUAGAAGUUAUAUACCGAAGCAGACAUGAUCAAACAAGCAAGGCAUCGGAACAAUUUCUAUGACUGUUAGGAAGUUCAACUUAGAAUAUUUUCCCAGCAGAAACUGCCACAUUGUAUUUAAGUAAAAUGAAAUUUUGCAUUUACUAAAACAUGUUAAUACUGGAAUGCCAGGCACUAAACUAAUACACCCACAGUUACAUGUGAGAAUAGAAUUUUUAAAAACUAAACAGCAAAAACAUUUAUGAGCUCAUAGCAUCCCUGAAACCUGUAGCCAACGGCCUCCAAGAACACACUGAAGCAUCCUCGGUGUGCAUGGAAGGAAGCUGUGGCACAGAAAUAAUGACGAAAGCAAAAUGACCGGUAGAUGGGAAUAAAGCAUUACCCUACAUGUAAAAUGUGUUCUUGUUUGAAUAGAUGCAAUUAAAUAUUUGAUGAUUUACACCAGCCCAUUAAAGUGUGAACAUCGUCUAAUUUGUUUUUAUUGGGACAGAGAAACACUCCCCAGGGGUUACAGAGUGUCACAUAUUCCUCUCAGUUCCAUGAAGUUGAAUCAAUCAAAACAGACAACGCCUUUGCCGCGAUAGGAGCUUCUUCCUUCUCUCCGAAUAAUGGUGACCUCGGUGACGAGUUCCUCACGGAGUUUGAGCCAAAUGGGAAUCUAAAUGCAGUGAGACAUCAGCUGCACAGCGUAGGUGCCUGUGACCCCACUCCAGCCGGGGUGCCAUGGACGUCCCCAUCGGCUGCCAGGAAGUCUUCCAAUUCUACCAGCCGAGAUUUAACAUUAGAGCCCAUGUGCGUCACGCACAGGAGCCAGGCUCGACUCUCACACUGCCUGUUGUGGUCUUUAGGGAAAUGAGUGUAAAAUUGGCCCGAGGCCACGGUGGAUGUGUAAAUACACAGCUAUGAACCCAAAGACCCCAGCUCUGCAGGGUGGGAGGGGCUGGGGGCGGUGCUGAGGACGGUGGCAGGAGGCAGGGCUACCACGUGGGACACAGACAGCUCAGUGUUCCUCCCCCAAAAUGGCAUGGACUCCUCCUGCAGACUCUAGCCCUGUCUCCUGCUCCUGCACGUAGCCAACAGGUGAUGUUGGCGUUUCAGGGGUGCGUCAACAGGUGGAGUCCAGGCUGACCGUG